GAUCUUCCAGCACAGCUGACAGGUGGACUCCUGGUACCUGGUUCUGUCCAUCCCUCAGCCUGAAGCUUUCUGAGUUUUUCCUGGUCCAGUCUGAAAAGUGAACACGCUGGAAAUAAGCCCUAAAGCCAGAUGAGAGUCCCCCCAGGGCCUCUUCUAUAGAAGACAUGUCUGGAAUACCUUACCAGGGCGUCCAGGAUGCAGCCAAAAUUGAUGUCCAAAUCCCAUUAACUGGCCUCCCUCCGUGUUCUCAAUGCACUUUUACCUUAAGCUCCCCACCAAGCUCCUCAUUUCUUAUUUACUUCCUGGUUUCUUUUCUCAU
This is a long non-coding RNA of Oryzias melastigma (Indian medaka), 319 nucleotides long. RefSeq lists it as uncharacterized. The transcript is spliced from 2 exons. NCBI's taxonomy places the organism in Eukaryota, Metazoa, Chordata, Actinopteri, Beloniformes, Adrianichthyidae. The record is from RefSeq and is a predicted model, not a curated record.